UACGAAGGGGGCUAGCGUUGCUCGGAAUUACUGGGCGUAAAGCGCACGUAGGCGGCUUUCUAAGUCGGGGGUGAAAUCCUGGAGCUCAACUCCAGAACUGCCUUCGAUACUGGAGAGCUCGAGUCCGGGAGAGGUGAGUGGAACUGCGAGUGUAGAGGUGAAAUUCGUAGAUAUUCGCAAGAACACCAGUGGCGAAGGCGGCUCACUGGUCCAUUACUGACGCUGAGGUGCGAAAGCGUGGGGAGCAAACAGG
This 253-nucleotide ribosomal RNA is filed under the name uncultured bacterium. RNAcentral's name for it is "partial 16S ribosomal RNA". It matches the Rfam family "Bacterial small subunit ribosomal RNA", at positions 524 to 776 of the family's 1533-position model. The record is from RNAcentral.